CUGGAGGUAAAUAAAGUGAAGCAAAUGAAGACUCUGUUGCCUUCACUGAUACCUGCCUCCAAAAGUAAGAGCAGAGAGAACGUCCCUGGUCUGUAGUGAAAAGCCUUGGAUUUCUGCAUCUGCUUACAAAG
This 131-nucleotide non-coding RNA is filed under the name Amphilophus citrinellus (Midas cichlid). Lineage: Eukaryota; Metazoa; Chordata; Actinopteri; Cichliformes; Cichlidae. The record is from RNAcentral.